UUCUAGGGCCAUGCCACCCUGAACAUGCCCAAUCUCGUCUGAUCUUGGAAGUUAAGCAAGAUUGGGCCUGGUUAGUAUUUGGAUGAGAGACCACCUAGAAAAACCAGGUGCUGUAGGCA
RNAcentral lists this ribosomal RNA (119 nucleotides) under Pteropus alecto (black flying fox). RNAcentral also lists the same sequence under 1 other name. Lineage: Eukaryota; Metazoa; Chordata; Mammalia; Chiroptera; Pteropodidae. The record is from RNAcentral.